GGCUCAGAUUGAACGCUGGCGGCAGGCUUAACACAUGCAAGUCGAGCGGGGUGAUGGUGCUUGCACUAUCACUUAGCGGCGGACGGGUGAGUAAUGCUUAGGAAUCUGCCUAUUAGUGGGGGACAACAUUUCGAAAGGAAUGCUAAUACCGCAUACGUCCUACGGGAGAAAGCAGGGGAUCUUCGGACCUUGCGCUAAUAGAUGAGCCUAAGUCGGAUUAGCUAGUUGGUGGGGUAAAGGCCUACCAAGGCGACGAUCUGUAGCGGGUCUGAGAGGAUGAUCCGCCACACUGGGACUGAGACACGGCCCAGACUCCUACGGGAGGCAGCAGUGGGGAAUAUUGGACAAUGGGCGCAAGCCUGAUCCAGCCAUGCCGCGUGUGUGAAGAAGG
RNAcentral lists this ribosomal RNA (391 nucleotides) under uncultured bacterium. RNAcentral's name for it is "bacterial SSU rRNA". It matches the Rfam family "Bacterial small subunit ribosomal RNA", at positions 21 to 414 of the family's 1533-position model. The record is from RNAcentral.